RNAcentral lists this long non-coding RNA (504 nucleotides) under Salmo salar (Atlantic salmon). RNAcentral describes it as "lncRNA (ENSSSAG00000112470.1)". Lineage: Eukaryota; Metazoa; Chordata; Actinopteri; Salmoniformes; Salmonidae. The record is from RNAcentral.
CUCCUGAUAGACUGUAUAGUCCUCCUCUUGGUUAGUUUAGUGACUCCUGAUAGACUGUAUAGUCCUCCUCUUGGUUAGUGACUCCUGAUAGACUGUAUAGUCCUCCUCUUGGUUAGUGACUCCUGAUAGACUGUAUAGUCCUCCUCUUGGUUAGUGACUCCUGAUAGACAGUAUAGUCCUCCUCUUGGUUAGUUUAGUGACUCCUGAUAGACUGUAUAGUCCUCCUCUUGGUUAGUGACUCCUGAUAGACUGUAUAGUCCUCCUCUUGGUUAGUGACUCCUGAUAGACUGUAUAGCCCUCCUCUUGGUUAGUGACUCCUGAUAGACUGUAUAGUCCUCCUCUUGGUUAGUGACUCCUGAUAGACUGUAUAGUCCUCCUCUUGGUUAGUGACUCCUGAUAGACUGUAUAGUCCUCCUCUUGGUUAGUGACUCCUGAUAGACUGUAUAGUCCUCCUCUUGGUUAUUAGUGACUCCUGAUAGACUGUAUAGUCCUCCUCUUGGUUAG